GGGGCUGAUUCUGGAUUCGACGGGAUUUGCGAAACCCAAGGUGCAUGCCGAGGGGCGGUUGGCCUCGUAAAAAGCCGCAAAAAAUAGUCGCAAACGACGAAAACUACGCUUUAGCAGCUUAAUAACCUGCUUAGAGCCCUCUCUCCCUAGCCUCCGCUCUUAGGACGGGGAUCAAGAGAGGUCAAACCCAAAAGAGAUCGCGUGGAAGCCCUGCCUGGGGUUGAAGCGUUAAAACUUAAUCAGGCUAGUUUGUUAGUGGCGUGUCCGUCCGCAGCUGGCAAGCGAAUGUAAAGACUGACUAAGCAUGUAGUACCGAGGNAUCGCGUGGAAGCCCUGCCUGGGGUUGAAGCGUUAAAACUUAAUCAGGCUAGUUUGUUAGUGGCGUGUCCGUCCGCAGCUGGCAAGCGAAUGUAAAGACUGACUAAGCAUGUAGUACCGAGGAUGUAGGAAUUUCGGACGCGGGUUCAACUCCCGCCAGCUCCACCA
This 486-nucleotide transfer-messenger RNA is filed under the name Escherichia coli. It matches the Rfam family "transfer-messenger RNA". From Rfam's summary of the family: Bacterial tmRNA, also known as 10Sa RNA or SsrA, is named for its dual tRNA and mRNA-like properties. Its role is to liberate the mRNA from a stalled ribosome. Lineage: Bacteria; Pseudomonadati; Pseudomonadota; Gammaproteobacteria; Enterobacterales; Enterobacteriaceae. The record is from RNAcentral.